RNAcentral lists this ribosomal RNA (440 nucleotides) under uncultured bacterium. Its description in RNAcentral is "partial 16S ribosomal RNA". It matches the Rfam family "Bacterial small subunit ribosomal RNA", at positions 338 to 795 of the family's 1533-position model. The record is from RNAcentral.
CCUACGGGAGGCAGCAGUAGGGAAUAUUGCUCAAUGGGGGAAACCCUGAAGCAGCAACGCCGCGUGGAGGAUGAAGGUUUUCGGAUUGUAAACUCCUUUUGUUAGAGAAGAUAAUGACGGUAUCUAACGAAUACUCACCGGCUAACUCCGUGCCAGCAGCCGCGGUCAUACGGAGGGUGCAAGCGUUACUCGGAAUCACUGGGCGUAAAGAGCGCGUAGGCGGGAUAUCAAGUCAGAUGUGAAAUCCUAUGGCUUAACCAUAGAACUGCAGUUGAAACUGUUAUUCUAGAGUAUGGGAGAGGUAGGUGGAAUUAUUGGUGUAGGGGUAAAAUCCGUAGAGAUCAAGAGGAAUACUCAUUGCGAAGGCGACCUGCUAGAACAUAACUGACGCUGAUGCGCGAAAGCGUGGGGAGCAAACAGGAUUAGAUACCCUGGUAGUC